Molecule: long non-coding RNA, 412 nt
Filed under: Homo sapiens (human)
Lineage: Eukaryota; Metazoa; Chordata; Mammalia; Primates; Hominidae
Description: non-protein coding lnc-REEP6-1:1
Rfam family: Metazoan signal recognition particle RNA (bases 140-287)
Source: RNAcentral
GGCUGGGUGCGGUGGCUCACACCUGUAAUCCCAGCACUUUGGGAGGCCGAGGCGGGCAGAUUGUUUGAGCUCAGGAGUUUGAGACCAGCUUGUGGCAACAUGGUGAAACCCCGUCUCUACAGGAAAAAUACAAGAAUUAGCUGGGUGUGGUAGUGUGCACCUGUAAUCCCAGCUACUCAGGAGGCUGAGGCAGGAGGAUCGCUUGAGCCUGGGAGGUAGAGGUUGCAGUGAGCUAAGAUUGCACCACUGCACUCCAACCUGGGUGACAGAGUGAGACUCUGUCUCAAAAAAAUUUAAAAAAAAAGGUACCAAGGACUCCAAGGACUGAGUUCAAGAAGUAACAAGGACUAUGCUCAAAAAGAACUAAGAGCCUGGCCAACAUGGUGAAACCCCGUCUCUACUGAAAAUACAA